AUUGAACGCUGGCGGCAUGCCUUACACAUGCAAGUCGAACGGCAGCAUGAUCUAGCUUGCUAGAUUGAUGGCGAGUGGCGAACGGGUGAGUAAUACAUCGGAACGUGCCCUGUAGUGGGGGAUAACUAGUCGAAAGAUUAGCUAAUACCGCAUACGACCUGAGGGUGAAAGUGGGGGACCGCAAGGCCUCAUGCUAUAGGAGCGGCCGAUGUCUGAUUAGCUAGUUGGUGAGGUAAAGGCUCACCAAGGCGACGAUCAGUAGCUGGUCUGAGAGGACGAUCAGCCACACUGGGACUGAGACACGGCCCAGACUCCUGCGGGAGGCAGCAGUGGGGAAUUUUGGACAAUGGGCGAAAGCCUGAUCCAGCAAUGCCGCGUGUGUGAAGAAGGCCUUCGGGUUGUAAAGCACUUUUGUCCGGAAAGAAAUGGCUCUGGUUAAUACCUGGGGUCGAUGACGGUACCGGAAGAAUAAGGACCGGCUAACUACGUG
This 490-nucleotide ribosomal RNA is filed under the name uncultured bacterium. Its description in RNAcentral is "partial 16S ribosomal RNA". It matches the Rfam family "Bacterial small subunit ribosomal RNA", at positions 30 to 507 of the family's 1533-position model. The record is from RNAcentral.